UACAUGGGGUGCAACCGUUGCUCGGAAUUAUUGGGCGUAAAGCGCGCGUAGGCGGUUACUCAAGUCGGAUGUGAAAGCCCUCGGCUUAACUGAGGAAGUGCACCCGAAACUGAGUAGCUAGAGUACCAAAGAGGGUCGCGGAAUUCCCGGUGUAGAGGUGAAAUUCGUAGAUAUCGAGAGGAACACCGGUGGCGAAGGCGGCGAUCUGGACGAUGACUGACGCUGAGGAGCGAAAGCGUGGGGAGCGAACAGG
RNAcentral lists this ribosomal RNA (253 nucleotides) under uncultured bacterium. Its description in RNAcentral is "partial 16S ribosomal RNA". It matches the Rfam family "Bacterial small subunit ribosomal RNA", at positions 524 to 776 of the family's 1533-position model. The record is from RNAcentral.